GUCCACGCCGUAAACGAUGGAUACUAGCUGUUGGGAUUUAUCUCAGUGGCUAAGCGAAAGUGAUAAGUAUCCCACCUGGGGAGUACGUUCGCAAGAAUGAAACUCAAAGGAAUUGACGGGGCCCGCACAAGCGGUGGAGCAUGUGGUUUAAUUCGAUGAUACGCGAGGAACCUUACCAAGGCUUAAAUGUAGAUUGACAGGUUUGGAAACAGAUCUUUCUUCGGACAAUUUACAAGGUGCUGCAUGGUUGUCGU
Molecule: ribosomal RNA, 254 nt
Filed under: uncultured bacterium
Lineage: Bacteria
Description: partial 16S ribosomal RNA
Rfam family: Bacterial small subunit ribosomal RNA
Source: RNAcentral